CGUAGGGUGCGAGCGUUGUCCGGAAUUAUUGGGCGUAAAGGGCUCGUAGGCGGUUUGUCGCGUCGGGAGUGAAAACCUCGGGCUUAACUCGGGCUUGCUUUCGAUACGGGCAGACUAGAGGUAUGCAGGGGAGAACGGAAUUCCUGGUGUAGCGGUGAAAUGCGCAGAUAUCAGGAGGAACACCGGUGGCGAAGGCGGUUCUCUGGGCAUGAUCUGACGCUGAGGAGCGAAAGUGUGGGGAGCGAACAGGAUUAGAUACCCUGGUAGUCCACACCGUAAACGUUGGGCGCUAGGUGUGGGAUCCAUUCCACGGGUUCCGUGCCGCAGCUAACGCAUUAAGCGCCCCGCCUGGGGAGUACGGCCGCAAGGCUA
Molecule: ribosomal RNA, 372 nt
Filed under: uncultured organism
Description: bacterial SSU rRNA
Rfam family: Bacterial small subunit ribosomal RNA
Source: RNAcentral